GCUUUCGUGGCGUAGUGGUCAGCACACUCGGCGCGUAACCUAGAGGUGGUCCGUGGUUCGAUUCCCGGCGAAGGCG
Molecule: transfer RNA, 76 nt
Filed under: Stegodyphus mimosarum
Lineage: Eukaryota; Metazoa; Arthropoda; Arachnida; Araneae; Eresidae
Rfam family: tRNA
About the family: Transfer RNA (tRNA) molecules are approximately 80 nucleotides in length. Their secondary structure includes four short double-helical elements and three loops (D, anti-codon, and T loops).
Source: Rfam by way of RNAcentral